AACGAACGCUGGCGGCAUGCCUAACACAUGCAAGUCGAACGAGAACAUCGGGUCUAUUGGCGCUUGGCUGCGGAACGCCGGGGGAGUUGCCCUUGGGUUCGGAACAACUCGCUGAAAGGGGUGCUCAUACCGGAUAAGGUACUAGGACCAAAGAUUUAUCGCCUUUGGAUGGGGCCGUGUUGGCUUAGCUAGUUGGUAGGGUAUAAGCCGACCAAGGCGACGAUCAAUCGCUGGUCAGAGAGGAUGAUCAGCCACACUGGAACUGAGGCACGGCCGAGAAUGCUACGGGACGGAGCGGAAGGGUGUAGUAGACAAUGGGCGUGAAUGAAGUCCAGCAAUGCCGCGUAAGUGAUGAUGGGCGUAGGGUUGUGAAGCUAUUUUAACCGGGAUGAUAAUGACCGUAACGGGAAAAUAAGCUCCGGCUAACUCCGUG
RNAcentral lists this ribosomal RNA (433 nucleotides) under uncultured bacterium. RNAcentral's name for it is "partial 16S ribosomal RNA". It matches the Rfam family "Bacterial small subunit ribosomal RNA", at positions 29 to 507 of the family's 1533-position model. The record is from RNAcentral.